This 495-nucleotide ribosomal RNA is filed under the name uncultured euryarchaeote. Its description in RNAcentral is "bacterial SSU rRNA". It matches the Rfam family "Archaeal small subunit ribosomal RNA", at positions 860 to 1354 of the family's 1478-position model. Lineage: Archaea; Methanobacteriati; Methanobacteriota. The record is from RNAcentral.
AGGAAUUGGCGGGGGAGCACCACAAGGGGUGAAGCCUGCGGUUCAAUUGGAGUCAACGCCGGAAAUCUUACCGGGGGCGACAGCAGUGUGAAGGUCAAGCCGAAGACUUUACUCGACAAGCUGAGAGGAGGUGCAUGGCCGUCGCCAGCUCGUGCCGUGAGGUGUCCUGUCAAGUCAGGCAACGAGCGAGACCUGCAUUCUUAUUUGCUAACAUGCCCGUAAGGGCGAGUGAGCACAAUAAGAAGACUGCUUCGGAAACGGAGAGGAAGGUGCAGGCUACGCCAGGUCUGUACGCCCCGAAUCUCCUGGGCUACACGCGCGCAACAAUGAUCGGGACAAUGGGAUGCAACGCCGAAAGGCGAAGCGAAACCUCGAAACCCGAUCCUAGUGCAGGUUGAGGGUUGCAACUCACCCUCAUGACGUCGGAAUCCCUAGUAAUCAGACGUUAGCAUCGUCCGGUGAAUAUGUCCCUGCUCCUUGCACACACCGCCCGUC